Molecule: long non-coding RNA, 3533 nt
Organism: Ictalurus furcatus (blue catfish)
Lineage: Eukaryota; Metazoa; Chordata; Actinopteri; Siluriformes; Ictaluridae
Exons: 2
Source: RefSeq, a predicted model, not a curated record
UCCUCCCUUCCUCACACAUCCUCACCAAAUCGUUUUUCCUCGUCUGCACUUUCUAAGUAUGUUUUCUAAGAACAAAAUGCACAUGAUCUUCUCAGACUUCAUCAUCUCUUCUGGAGCACACACAUUCUACAUGGUGAAAAUGAGAACAUGUAGGGGAGAAAAACACUCAACCCUCAAAACAGAGACUCUUUCUAUGGGAAUCGGCGCUCAUCUUGUACAAUGUGCGUGUCACUGUUGCAGUAUUAAUCGAGCUGUCGAGGUUGGGCGAUGUUGGAGAACUGGAGAUACACACAGCAAGGAGGAAGUGAAGCACGCUGGCGUGACUCUGCGUUUCGGUGCGUCCUAAAACCUUUCACUACCUACGUAGCGCCCUGCUUCAAUCCCUAGGGUGCUGUGUAAAUGGAGAGAUCUCAGACUCGUGGACUUCUGUAAACGUCGAGGGAAAAGGCAGGGCCAAACUGAGGGCUAAACUCAUCAGGAACCAUGAGACAUGGUCGGUGGGUUCUGCUACAUGAUUUGAGUAUAACCAAAACUAGGAAAUCAGAGAGCUGCUUGGAGCUCAGAAGGUAAUCAGUGGAAGGUGGUCUACAGGAGAUUGAGAUUGUUAACGUCUCAGUUUAUAGGGUUUAUAUUCCUUCAUUCCCCAUCCCAACCACUGCUGUCACUUGUAGGGAAUUGUAGAGUUGACACUAAACUCCUCUGAGUUCUUUACAGUUUUUUUUUUGAAGGAUGUGAGGUGAUGAAACCGCUACAGUAGCUAAGACCAGGAUUCCAAAGGCAAGAUUUUAAUAAAUCUUAGUUUUCAUUCUCUGAGUUUUCAUUCAUGGCCAAUAGACCCAUUUUGUGGAAAAUAAUGGCUCGGAGUUGAUACCAAGCUCCACUGGUUCUUGACUCCAGGAACACUCUAGUAUUCUUUGCCAAUUUUGAGUCUAUGAAUUUACCUGGACACUUCAGUAGCUUUGUGCAGGAACCCCAAAGACAUACUGUAUAUUGUAUUUAUUUAUUUUUGUUCCUGCCCCAUUUCCUUUUUAGUGAGAAGGCAAGAUGUACGUUACAUGCCUUAUGUAAAGAGCAAAGGAAAUUUUUCAAACGUAUGAGCUGAAGUGACUCCAGUCGCUGGCGGCAGUAAUUCAGGGGUAAGUCUUAGCUUAGAGUUUUUGUUCUUGGCCCAUUGCAUGCACAAGGCAAGAGCUUUGUUUCAGUCCUGUGUAAAUGAAGUGAGUAGACUUGACUGAGUUCCCCUGACUUACUUGAAUCCCCGCCAGCUCCCUCCCAUUUCUAUAAUUCUGUACAGUUUUGUUAGGAUACAGGGUUGCUCGAGUCACCGCUUGCAGUAAUCUAGAGGCGAAGUUUUUCUUUUCAAUCGAGGGUUUUUGUUCCUGACCUAUUCCACAGUCUCGGGGAGAUAACGAGACUUUUGUUUCCGGUCCUGUGUAAACGGAGGGACCAUUUGACUAAAGUCUUCACUGGCACCAUGUGCCUCCAGCCGACUUCCUAAAAUUCUUUGGAAUUUUUCAAGAAUGUGAGGUUAAAAGAUUGCUCCAGUGGCAUCUGGAGCUAGGCGCAGUUUAGAGUUUUAAUUCUUGCCCCAUUCCAUCACCUUUGGAGGGAAAGCCAGACCUUUUGUUGACACCAAGCUCCACUUGUGCUUGACCUAGUCAGCUCACUCCUAUUACAAGAAAUAUUUGGGUGGUUGUGAGGUUAUAAGCUUGUUAUUAGGCUACAGUAGUGCUGGAAAUAGAUGUUCUCCCCUGCACCAUCCCACCCACCCACUUGGAAGGAAGUCAAGACCUUUGUUUCAACACUGGUGCUUGAUCUAUCCAGCUCAUUCCCGUUCCAAGAAUUCCAAAAGAAAUUGGUGGUUUGUGAGGCCAUAAGAGUGUUAUAAUCCACAGUAGUCCUGGCCUUUUUUCUUUUCACUAUCCCACCCAUUUGGAGGGAAGGCAAGAUCUUUGUUUCACCACUGGCGCUUGACACCAUCCAGCUCAUUCCCAUUUAUUGAGGAUGCAGGUGACACCUGGUUAUUGUAAACUAAGGGCAUGUUUUUCCCCCUGGAACCCACUUGAAGGAAAGCCUGACCAUAUUUUUAUCCAAUGGUUCGUUUGAAUUUUUGUUGGGAACAAAGCUAACACCAGUCUCUAAUGGCACUUGAGUGCAUUCUCAUUGAUCCGCAAAUUAUCAUGUUUCAUAUUUUCCCGAGGUUUAUUAGGUAUUCAAUUGUCUUUUUUUUUUUCCACACGGUUGAAAUGCCAUGAGUGGACUAUAGGCAGAAACCAUUCUGGAAUUGAUUGGACCAUUUUUAAAAGGCAAAUCCCUCAGACAACCAUCAAGACAAAUGCCUGUUCAGCCAGUGAAGUCCACACUUGACUGGGUGCUACUUCCAUUCUGAUGCGAACAUGUUGCGGUUUUCGAGGUGCUACGUAGGCUUUAUGAAGAUGCAAACCUGCUCAUAAAGACAGGAUCUGGAUCAGAGCUCACAAGAACUUUUUAGAAACAUGCUUCUGAGACUCCGGUGGUGAAGGAACGAGUUAACCAAGCCGAAGGCCGCCAAGCUGAGUAGAGCUCGAGCGGUGAGAAGUCACCUUUAUCGUUUAUUUUAAAUCACUGAGUUAAGCUGAUCACAUUGAUCAGUAGUUUAGGACUGAUAUUCUUUGAGGGGGGGCGGGGAGGGGGGAGAUCGCAGUGUUUUCCACUGUACCCUGUAAUAUUCUCACGUCAACAUUUCUUUCUCUUCUUGCUGUAAGUUUUCCUUUUGUUUUUUUGUAAUGGUUGCCGUCGUUUAAAAAAAAAUUAAUAAAUUAAAAAAAAAUAUAAAAAAAUUUAAAAAAAGAAUGAUCACAUUUGUAACACAGUGGUUCUAUAAAUCAUUCACCUCCGUUUGAAUUUUUGAAACUAGUCAUGCUUUUUCCGCCGAGCCGAGUGGAGUCCUCUGUCGAGAAAAUAAGUUGCACAAACUGUACAAGCAUAAGAUAAACCGUAGUAGUUAGCACUGCUACUUUGUUCGAUGUGUGAUGUCAAGUGAGAAGUGUACAUUUAGCUGGUGAAGAUUCUCUCAUUCUUGACUACUUUUACCUGUACGUCUUUUACAAAGACAAUUGGUGGAGUAUGUAUUGGUUGUUAUUUUCUGUCUUUUUUUAUUUUAUUUUAUUUUAUUUUAUUUUAUUUUUUCCUUUUUCUUUUUUUUUUUUUUCUUUUUGUAUUUUUAAUACAAUAAUUGUAAAUAUUGGUUAUAUUUUUGUUGAACUGUAGAAAUGUACUAUGUUUAUGCCUCAACAUCCAGUUUAUACGAAGCUGGUAAUCAAUAAAUGCGAGAAAAAGAAAUCGACUUGUAGGUUUCAAAUGCACCUUUUCGUUCUUUUUUUUUUUUUUUUUCCCCCCCACCGGUCAACGCGUUCUCUUUGGAAAAUUGUUACUUUAAAUAAAUGACACCGUAUAAUGUUUGCACAAGAUGAGACAUGGAAUUAACUUGAAAUGUGUAUCGUUUUUCUAAACUGACACAUCUGUCAGAAUGAAUAAAAAGACACUGAUGCCUA